Molecule: long non-coding RNA, 1104 nt
Organism: Peromyscus californicus insignis
Lineage: Eukaryota; Metazoa; Chordata; Mammalia; Rodentia; Cricetidae
Exons: 5
Source: RefSeq, a predicted model, not a curated record
GUGACUCUCCCCCCCAAACUCGCCGGGGCCGCUGCUCCCUCCGCCCCAACCCCGCCCGGCAACCCGCCUCCCGGCUCCCUCCGGGGGUUCACCCCGGCACUGAAGGGGAGACCUGGGGUGCCGCCUGGGCACCCCCACAGGAGACCCCGGCCCCCGGCGGCGGAGAAAAUGGAGCCGGAGAGAGAGAGAGAGAGAGAGAGGAGGCCCAAGCGGGGAUAACGAGACAGUUGGCAGGAAGGCGAAGAUACUUUGGAGAGUCGCACGGCCUUGUCAGGCCGCGAUCGCAGCAGGACUGGCUCUGCCCAGAGCCACACUGUGGUUUUGCUUGUGAGGGCAAAGGCCCUAGUUCUACGCUUCUGCCAGAUGACAUGCCAGGAGGGAGGCUUUGGAGAGUCGGAGAAAAAUGGACACCCAGAGAAUCCAGAGAGCUGUAGGAAUGCGCAGAGGGCAUUUUGGAAACUUUUGGAGGAGGGAGUUUCAUGAGGACAUAGAGUUGAAUGGGUCUCAUUGAACAGAACAUAUAGCCAAAGAUGGCCUAGAAUUCCUGAUUCUCUGCUCCCAUCUCCUGAGGGAUUACGGGUCAGCACCGCCAUGCCUUGUGGUGCUGGACGUUGAAUCUGAGGCUUUAUGGGCGCUAGGCAUGCCCUCUACCAACUGCACUAUAUCCCCAGCCUCCAGGGUCUCCUGUGCCUCAGGCCAGCCUCAAAACUCACUGUAUAGCUGCCUGUGGCCUCCCUCGGCUGCCUGAUCCAUUUGCCUUGACUUGGAUUGCAGUCAUGUGAUCACACACCUGGCUAGUUCUGUGUCAGGAAGGGUCCACACAAAGCUGCCCAACAGAUACUUACUUAACGAGAGACGAAGCAGCCCUGGUUUGAAGUUGAAUAAAAAUUUCUUGAGUGAAGAGGGGUCACAGGUGGAUUGAAAGUUUAAGGCCCGACUGACCUAUCGGACCCUGGGCACUCUCUCUGUCGCUCAGCCGUGGUCAACAGGAAGUGCGCUCACCCUGCAUCGGAUUGAAAGCUACCUGACAACCAACUGUCAGUCUUGCAUCUGUGCCUGCUGUUGUGACAUUUACUAAAUUAAUUAAAGUUAUUUAUUCAUUUA